RNAcentral lists this ribosomal RNA (468 nucleotides) under uncultured bacterium. RNAcentral's name for it is "partial 16S ribosomal RNA". It matches the Rfam family "Bacterial small subunit ribosomal RNA", at positions 28 to 507 of the family's 1533-position model. The record is from RNAcentral.
GACGAACGCUGGCGGCGUGCUUAACACAUGCAAGUCGAACGGUGAACGAGGGAGCUUGCUCCCUCCGGAUCAGUGGAACGGGUGAGUAACACGUGAGCAAUCUGCCCCGAACUCUGGGAUAAGCGUUGGAAACGACGUCUAAUACCGGAUACGACGCGGGAGUGCAUCCUCUCCGCGUGGAAAGAACUUCGGUUCGGGAUGAGCUCGCGGCCUAUCAGCUUGUUGGUGAGGUAACGGCUCACCAAGGCGACGACGGGUAGCCGGCCUGAGAGGGUGACCGGCCACACUGGGACUGAGACACGGCCCAGACUCCUACGGGAGGCAGCAGUGGGGAAUAUUGCACAAUGGGCGCAAGCCUGAUGCAGCAACGCCGCGUGAGGGACGACGGCCUUCGGGUUGUAAACCUCUUUUAGCAGGGAAGAAGCGAAAGUGACGGUACCUGCAGAAAAAGCACCGGCUAACUACGUG